Non-coding RNA from Pelobates cultripes (western spadefoot toad), 133 nucleotides. NCBI's taxonomy places the organism in Eukaryota, Metazoa, Chordata, Amphibia, Anura, Pelobatidae. The record is from the annotation of a GenBank genome assembly.
UGCAGCCAUGUCAAAUUCCAUAUUCAUGAUAUACAUUGUGAUUAUGGGCCUAAGUGGCUGCCACAGAAUAAUUGUAGUUCAUGGGCCUCACAUCUAUGUUGAUGACGAGGAUACAGUUAUACUACAGACAGUU